UACAGAGGGUGCAAGCGUUAAUCGGAAUUACUGGGCGUAAAGCGUGCGUAGACGGUUGCGUAAGUCAGAUGUGAAAGCCCCGGGCUCAACCUGGGAAUUGCAUUUGAGACUGCGUAGCUAGGGUGCGGAAGAGGGAAGCGGAAUUUCCGGUGUAGCGGUGAAAUGCGUAGAUAUCGGAAGGAACACCAGUGGCGAAAGCAGCUUCCUGGUCCAGCACCGACGUUCAGGCACGAAAGCGUGGGGAGCAAACAGG
RNAcentral lists this ribosomal RNA (253 nucleotides) under uncultured bacterium. RNAcentral's name for it is "partial 16S ribosomal RNA". It matches the Rfam family "Bacterial small subunit ribosomal RNA", at positions 524 to 776 of the family's 1533-position model. The record is from RNAcentral.